UGACAGUGACUUGGGUCACAUGGUGCAAGACCCUUUGUAUUGUUCAUGGUACUUGCCAUCAAAAUGUUCAAAUUAAUGGAGCCUGUGAAAGCGCAGGUUGUAUGGAGUAUAAAGCCUAUAGAGUUUUUUUAAAAUCUUUUUUCUUCUUGAAACGUGUGCAUGCUGUUUUUGGGAACAAUACAAACUGCAUGUUGAGGUCAGACAAAUUCAGGUGCUAAAUAAUUUGUUUCUCUAAUGGACUUAGAUUGUAUUUGCUAUCAGGUUUUAUAAGAGGGCUUUUUGUGUAGCCUCUGAAGUUACUCUAGUAUAUUUGUUAUGUGUGGAGAGGUGGGGCAGAAAUAGAAAAUGUCACAUGUUCCCCAUUAUUUUAAGGAAAGAAAAGAUAACUUUGUCUCACUAAUUUCAUUUCAGACAAGUGGAUUUUAUAGGUAAUAGGUUCAAUUCUCGAUUUAAUUUCAUUUCCAGAGACACUAUAAAAUGACACAAAACUUUUCCCCCUCACUGUUGUUUUUGGAACAAGACGACAUAUCUCCUGGUAAAUGCAGUCAUACAUGAUAUGGCUCAAUGCCUGGACUGCCUGCCUUGUAAAUAACUGAUGGCACUCUUAAUAAAUGGGAAAAUGUUUUUCCUUAGAUUUCAUCCACAUUUUAUAGCUACCAUAGCAAACACACUGAGUAUUUCAAAAUAGCACUUUGCCUUUUUCCUGAAUGUGUGCUCCGUGUCAUCAAGUUCAUCUUACUGGAAAGUUUAAGUGGUAAAAUUAGAUGGAACAUACUUUGAUAAUGCAUUGCAUGUCAGGUUAUAAAUAUGAACUGGAUUUAAUAUUUGGCCAAGAUAGUCCUCACAAGUGCAUUUGGAAACAUUUGUCAAAUGCUGAACUUAGAUUUCUGGCCUCUCCUGGGAGUCGUCCAGAUACAGGAAGGCAUCUUAGAUGCUCACCUAUACAGUCUCUGUGCUAAUAAAAUGGAAUGGCGUGGGUGCUGGGUGGUUUAUAAUGUGAUGCCUGUGGGUGGAGAAGUAACUCAUGGAUCUUGGCCUUUUCACUCUUCACAGAAACUGCGCCAAGGCCAAGUCAUCACAUUAUAUGGGCAUUAUGUGCUGGGGGGGUUGGGGUGGGUUGCAGGAUGGGAGCCUUGAUGUUGAGGAUGGGCAGUGAUGCUGCCUCCACCAGCCAUCAGCCAACCACAACCACAAUGUACAUCCUCUUUGUCUGCCCUUAGCUUUGGGACUGGGUAGCAGGGAGAGGGAAAACUAUAAGAGCAUUUCAAAGAAGGAGGGAAGUUAAUACCUUGAAAGGAGAACUGACGUAGAAGCACGCCAUUGUCCUUACCUCAGUCUGGAAUGGGAGAUUCCCAUCUGUCAGAUCAGGAAGGAUAAUGAGCUUUGAAAAGCACUGAAAGGCCGGGCGUGGUGGCUCACGCCUGUAAUCCCAGCACUUUGGGAGGCCAAGAUGGGAGGAUCACUAGAGCCCAGGAGUUCAAGAGCAGCCUGGGCAACACGGCGAAAUCCUGUCUCUACAAAAAAUAAGAAAAAAUUAGCCCGGUGUGGUGGCAGGUGCCUGUAAUCCCAGAUACUCAGGAGGCUGAUGUGGGAGGAUCAUCUGAGCCCAGGAGGUUGAGGCUGCACUGAGCCAUGAUCACACCAUUGCAUUCCAGCAUGGGCAACAGAGUGAGACCCUACCUAAGAAAAGAAAGAAAAGAAAAGAAAAGCAUUGGGAAAGGAAGAGGGUAUGGUUUAAAAGGCAAUAAGAAAUCUUAGGAAGAGUGGAGCGUGGUAGGCACAAGGGAUGGUGUUAAAGGCAGAGGGAAGGAUACAGAGGAGAGGGGGGGAAACACAAGGAGGAUGUGGGCCGUCUGGCCAGACCACCUUGGUGCCACAGUGGUGACCAAAGUAAAGAGGUGGGAGAAGCUGCUUCCCUCAUUUAUCUGAAUUGUAAGCUCAGCAACACUGGCCCAGUAGAAAUUCAUGUACCUGUAGCAGAAACUUGGCUAAACACCCUUGUCAUUGAGGCAUUUCCACAUUUUCAGCUUAUUUCGAAUUGUUGCCAGCCCAGUUUAAUGGUCUUCAGAGCCGUCCUGAGUAAAUGCUGGCUUCAGGUCUCCAGCUUUGCAUUGUCUACUUUUGAUCUCUCACUAAAAGUAGGAUGAAAAGUUGAAAUUGAGACAGCAUAUUCUAAACUAGCUGAGCCUUUGAAGAAUUCUUAUUAGAAAAAAUGAAAUUGCUUGCGUGAAGUGUGAUGGUGUGUUAAUACCUACGUAGUUACCUGGUAUGAGAAUGAUCUGAAUUGUUAAAAGAAACAAUAGGAAAACAUAUUAGGAAUUGUUAUUUCAACAAGAGGAUUUUAAAUGUGUGUCAUUUGAAUAUGUUUAUCUUUUAACCUCAGCACUCUACACCCCCAAGCGCAUAUGGGUCUGUCAAAGCCUAUACUAACUUUGAUGCUGAGCGGGAUGCUUUGAACAUUGAAACAGCCAUCAAGACCAAAGGUGUGGAUGAGGUCACCAUUGUCAACAUUUUGACCAACCGCAGCAAUGCGCAGAGACAGGAUAUUGCCUUCGCCUACCAGAGAAGGACCAAAAAGGAACUUGCAUCAGCACUGAAGUCAGCCUUAUCUGGCCACCUGGAGACGGUGAUUUUGGGCCUAUUGAAGACACCUGCUCAGUAUGACGCUUCUGAGCUAAAAGCUUCCAUGAAGGGACUGGGAACCGACGAGGACUCUCUCAUUGAGAUCAUCUGCUCCAGAACCAACCAGGAGCUGCAGGAAAUUAACAGAGUCUACAAGGAAAUGUACAAGACUGAUCUGGAGAAAGACAUUAUUUCGGACACAUCUGGUGACUUCCGCAAGCUGAUGGUUGCUCUGGCAAAGGGUAGAAGAGCAGAGGAUGGCUCUGUCAUUGAUUAUGAACUGAUUGACCAAGAUGCCCGGGAUCUCUAUGACGCUGGAGUGAAGAGGAAAGGAACUGAUGUUCCCAAGUGGAUCAGCAUCAUGACCGAGCGGAGCGUGCCCCACCUCCAGAAAGUAUUUGAUAGGUACAAGAGUUACAGCCCUUAUGACAUGUUGGAAAGCAUCAGGAAAGAGGUUAAAGGAGACCUGGAAAAUGCUUUCCUGAACCUGGUUCAGUGCAUUCAGAACAAGCCCCUGUAUUUUGCUGAUCGGCUGUAUGACUCCAUGAAGCAAGACACUAAGGGCGACUACCAGAAAGCGCUGCUGUACCUGUGUGGUGGAGACGACUGAAGCCCGACACGGCCUGAGCGUCCAGAAAUGGUGCUCACCAUGCUUCCAGCUAACAGGUCUACAAAACCAGCUUGCGAAUAACAGUCCCUGUGGCCAUCCCUGUGAGGGUGACGUUAGCAUUACCCCCAACCUCAUUUUAGUUGCCUAAGCAUUGCCUGGCCUUCCUGUCUAGUCUCUCCUGUAAGCCAAAGAAAUGAACAUUCCAAGGAGUUGGAAGUGAAGUCUAUGAUGUGAAACACUUUGCCUCCUGUGUACUGUGUCAUAAACAGAUGAAUAAACUGAAUUUGUACUUU
Molecule: small RNA, 3525 nt
Filed under: Pan troglodytes (chimpanzee)
Lineage: Eukaryota; Metazoa; Chordata; Mammalia; Primates; Hominidae
Description: retained intron
Source: RNAcentral